RNAcentral lists this ribosomal RNA (253 nucleotides) under uncultured bacterium. RNAcentral's name for it is "partial 16S ribosomal RNA". It matches the Rfam family "Bacterial small subunit ribosomal RNA", at positions 524 to 776 of the family's 1533-position model. The record is from RNAcentral.
UACGUAGGGGGCAAGCGUUGUUCGGAAUUACUGGGCGUAAAGCGCGUGUAGGCGGCCCUGCAAGUCGGAUGUGAAAUCCCACGGCUCAACCGUGGAAGUGCAUUCGAAACUGCAGGGCUAGAGUCCUGGAGAGGAAGGUGGAAUGCUUGGUGUAGAGGUGAAAUUCGUAGAUAUCAAGCGGAACACCGGUGGCGAAGGCGGCCUUCUGGACAGUGACUGACGCUGAGACGCGAAAGCGUGGGGAGCAAACAGG